RNAcentral lists this ribosomal RNA (462 nucleotides) under uncultured bacterium. RNAcentral describes it as "bacterial SSU rRNA". It matches the Rfam family "Bacterial small subunit ribosomal RNA", at positions 338 to 795 of the family's 1533-position model. The record is from RNAcentral.
CCUACGGGGGGCUGCAGUAGGGAAUAUUGCGCAAUGGGGGAAACCCUGACGCAGCGACGCCGCGUGAGUGAUGAAGGCCUUUCUGGUUGUAAAGCUCUGUAAGGAGGGAAGAAUGUCAGGCAGUAAUGUGUCUGAGUGACGGUACCUCCGGAGUAAGGACCGGCUAAAUACGUGCCAGCAGCCGCGGUAAUACGUAUGGUCCUAGCGUUGUCCGGAAUAACUGGGCGUAAAGGGUGUGUAGGCGGAUAUCCGUGUCAGGUGUGAAAUCCCCCGGCUUAACUGGGGCAUUGCGCUUGAAACUGGAUAUCUGGAGCGUGUCAGGGGUAAGCGGAAUUCCCGGAGUAGCGGUGAAAUGCGUAGAUAUCGGGAAGAACACCGGUGGCGAAGGCGGCUUACUGGGACAUGGCUGACGCUGAGGCACGAAAGCGUGGGGAGCGAACGGGAUUAGAUACCCCAGUAGUC